Long non-coding RNA from Chiroxiphia lanceolata (lance-tailed manakin), 582 nucleotides. RefSeq lists it as uncharacterized. The transcript is spliced from 3 exons. The record is from RefSeq and is a predicted model, not a curated record. Lineage: Eukaryota; Metazoa; Chordata; Aves; Passeriformes; Pipridae.
GGCAGUGGGGAAGGGGCUUGGGGGAAUCCCAAGGGGUGGAGCCGAGUUUGGGGGGGGCAGCACCGGCCCCAGGAUGGAUCGGGAAUGGGGACCCCCCUGUGUUCUCCCCUGUCAGCCCGCUCUGGGGGGGCUUUGGGAGGGCACCUGCUCCUCAAUGAGGCACCCAGCACACUUCGAAAGGUGCUGGGAACCACCUAAACUUCCACACAGGCUCUGGAGGACUGCCUAAACAUACUCAGAGCCCACCCAGGACCCCACACAACCCUUUUCUGGAGGGACUUCUCUGGGCACUGGUGGUGCUGGGAGCCCCCCCAGUUGCAGGCAAGGAGCUCUCGGGUGAGAGCUCUCUGGCAGAGAGAGAGCCAAGGGACAGGGCCACGGGCAGGGCCCCGGGUGAGGGACAGGCAGGGCCAUUGCAGGGCCACGGUGAGGGCACAGCCUGUGUCAGCAGAGCUGCCCAGGGCCGGGGGCAGCCGGGGGUGUUGGGACCAGGCAGUGGUGGGGCCGAGCAGAGCACAAGGCCUCUUGCAGACCCCUGGAGCAACCUCCCACUUGCCAACCCUGCCCUGGUGGGCUGACACU